Molecule: ribosomal RNA, 465 nt
Filed under: uncultured Klebsiella sp.
Lineage: Bacteria; Pseudomonadati; Pseudomonadota; Gammaproteobacteria; Enterobacterales; Enterobacteriaceae
Description: bacterial SSU rRNA
Rfam family: Bacterial small subunit ribosomal RNA
Source: RNAcentral
CCUACGGGAGGCUGCAGUGGGGAAUAUUGCACAAUGGGCGCAAGCCUGAUGCAGCCAUGCCGCGUGUGUGAAGAAGGCCUUCGGGUUGUAAAGCACUUUCAGCGGGGAGGAAGGCGUUAAGGUUAAUAACCUUGGCGAUUGACGUUACCCGCAGAAGAAGCACCGGCUAACUCCGUGCCAGCAGCCGCGGUAAUACGGAGGGUGCAAGCGUUAAUCGGAAUUACAGGGCGUAAAGCGCACGCAGGCGGUCCGUCAAGUCGGAUGUGAAAUCCCCGGGCUCAACCUGGGAACUGCAUUCGAAACUGGCAGGCUAGAGUCUUGUAGAGGGGGGUAGAAUUCCAGGUGUAGCGGUGAAAUGCGUAGAGAUCUGGAGGAAUACCGGUGGCGAAGGCGGCCCCCUGGACAAAGACUGACGCUCAGGUGCGAAAGCGUGGGGAGCAAACAGGAUUAGAUACCCGGGUAGUC